GAUGAAGAACGUAGCGAAAUGCGAUAAGUAGUGUGAAUUGCAGAAUUCAGUGAAUCAUCGAAUCUUUGAACGCACAUUGCGCCCUUUGGUAUUCCUUAGGGCAUGCCUGUUCGAGCGUCAUUAUAACCCCUCAAGCUCAGCUUGGUGUUGGGGCCUGCUGCACUGGCAGCCCUUAAAAUCAGUGGCGGCGCCAUCUGGCUCUAAGCGUAGUAAUUCUUCUCGCUAUGGAGUCCUGGUGGAUGCUUGCCAUCAACCCCCAAUUUUUCUAUGGUUGACCUCGGAUCAGGUAGGGAUACCCGCUGAACUUAAGCAUAUCAAUAAGCGGGGA
RNAcentral lists this unclassified non-coding RNA (328 nucleotides) under soil metagenome. RNAcentral describes it as "partial contains 5.8S ribosomal RNA, internal transcribed spacer 2, and large subunit ribosomal RNA". The stretch from base 1 to 120 matches the Rfam family "5.8S ribosomal RNA", at positions 35 to 154 of the family's 154-position model. The record is from RNAcentral.